GGGCCGACGGCAGGGCUAUACAUGCAGCUGAACGGCAAGAUUUGUAGCAAUACGGAUCCUAGAGUAGCGUAAGGGUGCGUAACACGUAUGCAAUCUACCCACAACAGGAGGAUAGCUCUUCGAAAGAGGAAUUAAGACUCCAUAAGAUCACUUGAGGGCAUCUGAGGGUGAUUAAACUACAAGGGGUUGUGGAUGAGCAUGCGUCUGAUUAGUUAGUUGGCGGGGUAACGGCCCACCAAGACGAUGAUCAGUAGGGGAACUGAGAGGUUGGUCCCCCACACUGGCACUGAGAUACGGGCCAGACUCCUACGGGAGGCAGCAGUAGGGAAUAUUGGACAAUGGGUGCAAGCCUGAUCCAGCCAUGCCGCGUGCAGGAAGAAAGCCUUCUGGGUUGUAAACUGCUUUUUUCAGGGGAUAAAAUACCGGUGCGCCGGGAAUUGCAAGUACCUGGAGAAUAAGCCACGGCUAACUACGUGCCAGCAGCCGCGGUAAUACGUAGGUGGCAAGCGUUGUCCGGAUUUAUUGGGUUUAAAGGGUGCGUAGGCGGUAAUUUAAGUCAGUGGUGAAAUACGGCAGCUCAACUGUCGAGGUGCCAUUGAUACUGGGUUACUUGAGUACUGAUGAGGUAGGCGGAAUGGACGGUGUAGCGGUGAAAUGCUUAGAGAUCGUCCAGAACACCGAUAGCGAAGGCAGCUUACUAAGGAGUAACUGACGCUGAGGCACGAAAGUGUGGGGAUCAAACAGGAUUAGAUACCCUGGUAGUCCACACUGUAAACGAUGAUUACUCGAUGUUGGCGAUACACAGCCAGCGUCUUAGCAAAAGCGAUAAGUAAUCCACCUGGGGAGUACGCCGGCACGGUGAAACUCAAGGAAUUGACGG
This 880-nucleotide ribosomal RNA is filed under the name uncultured Bacteroidota bacterium. RNAcentral's name for it is "bacterial SSU rRNA". It matches the Rfam family "Bacterial small subunit ribosomal RNA", at positions 33 to 916 of the family's 1533-position model. Lineage: Bacteria; Pseudomonadati; Bacteroidota. The record is from RNAcentral.